RNAcentral lists this ribosomal RNA (253 nucleotides) under uncultured bacterium. Its description in RNAcentral is "partial 16S ribosomal RNA". It matches the Rfam family "Bacterial small subunit ribosomal RNA", at positions 524 to 776 of the family's 1533-position model. The record is from RNAcentral.
UACGGAGGGUGCAAGCGUUAUCCGGAUUCACUGGGUUUAAAGGGUGCGUAGGCGGAUUUGUAAGUCCGUGGUGAAAUCUCCAGGCUUAACCUGGAAACUGCCGUGAAUACUACGAAUCUUGAAUGUUGUGGAGGUUAGCGGAAUAUGUCAUGUAGCGGUGAAAUGCAUAGAUAUGACAUAGAACACCAAUUGCGAAGGCAGCUGGCUACACAAAUAUUGACGCUGAGGCACGAAAGCGUGGGGAUCAAACAGG